AAAAAGAAGGAAAAAAA
RNAcentral lists this small RNA (17 nucleotides) under Arabidopsis thaliana (thale cress). Its description in RNAcentral is "ATSL237770". The record is from RNAcentral. Lineage: Eukaryota; Viridiplantae; Streptophyta; Magnoliopsida; Brassicales; Brassicaceae.